CAUCCCGGACCGCUCGCCGCCGCCCCGCCGCCAGGUUUUAUUUCUCUGCUGUUGCCUGGCAACAGAGAUGCAACAAGACAUGUCAGAGGUUAAGGAACAGACUAAAAGUCAUUAUGGAAACCAUGUGUCCUUGGAGCAAAAUUUUCUGAUGAAUGGCUCAGACUGCCAUGGACUAAGAAGAACAAAAGGAAAGGUGCUAAAAGAAUCUCAGAAUGAUCAAGUCAAGUAAUUUUUUGGAUAUCUACAAACCAGUAAGAAAGUCACAAACAACCCAAGAGAAAGAGAUCAGAUGUGAAGAGACAUUUCCUGGCAGAACAAACACAUAAUGUCCAUAAGCAUGAGGAGUGAUAUUCAGUGUCAUUAUUGGUCAGGGAAAGGUAAAUCAAAAACCCAACGAGAAGACCUUUUUUUUUGCUCAUUCAGUUAGUAAACGUUAA
Talpa occidentalis (Iberian mole) is the source of this 437-nucleotide long non-coding RNA. RefSeq lists it as uncharacterized. The transcript is spliced from 4 exons. The record is from RefSeq and is a predicted model, not a curated record. NCBI's taxonomy places the organism in Eukaryota, Metazoa, Chordata, Mammalia, Eulipotyphla, Talpidae.